This 439-nucleotide ribosomal RNA is filed under the name uncultured bacterium. RNAcentral describes it as "partial 16S ribosomal RNA". It matches the Rfam family "Bacterial small subunit ribosomal RNA", at positions 342 to 795 of the family's 1533-position model. The record is from RNAcentral.
CGGGUGGCUGCAGCAGUGAGGAAUAUUGCACAAUGGGGGGAACCCUGAUGCAGCAACGCCGCGUGGAGGAUGACGCAUUUCGGUGUGUAAACUCCUUUUAUAUGUCAAGAAAAUGACGGUAGCAUAUGAAUAAGCACCGGCUAACUCCGUGCCAGCAGCCGCGGUAAUACGGAGGGUGCAAGCGUUACUCGGAAUCACUGGGCGUAAAGGACGCGUAGGCGGGUUGGAAAGUCAGGUGUGAAAUCCUACAGCUUAACUGUAGAACUGCACUUGAAACUUCUAAUCUAGAGUAUGGGAGGGGGAGAUGGAAUUAGUGGUGUAGGGGUAAAAUCCGUAGAUAUCACUAGGAAUACCUAAAGCGAAGGCGAUCUCCUGGAACAUUACUGACGCUAAGGCGUGAAAGCGUGGGGAGCAAACAGGAUUAGAUACCCCUGUAGUC